Molecule: ribosomal RNA, 319 nt
Filed under: uncultured Pseudomonadota bacterium
Lineage: Bacteria; Pseudomonadati; Pseudomonadota
Description: bacterial SSU rRNA
Rfam family: Bacterial small subunit ribosomal RNA
Source: RNAcentral
AUUGAACGCUGGCGGCAUGCCUUACACAUGCAAGUCGAACGGUAACGCGGGGCAACCUGGCGACGAGUGGCGAACGGGUGAGUAAUAUAUCGGAACGUGCCCAGUAGUGGGGGAUAGCCCGGCGAAAGCCGGAUUAAUACCGCAUACGACCUACGGGUGAAAGCAGGGGAUCGCAAGACCUUGCGUCAUUGGAGCGGCCGAUAUCAGAUUAGCUUGUUGGUGGGGUAAAAGCCUACCAAGGCGACGAUCUGUAGCUGGUCUGAGAGGACGACCAGCCACACUGGGACUGAGACACGGCCCAGACUCCUACGGGAGGCAG